RNAcentral lists this long non-coding RNA (322 nucleotides) under Pan troglodytes (chimpanzee). RNAcentral's name for it is "long non-coding RNA NONPTRT008814". Lineage: Eukaryota; Metazoa; Chordata; Mammalia; Primates; Hominidae. The record is from RNAcentral.
UAAUAAUAAUAAUAAUAAUAAUAAUAAUAGAAGAAGAAGAAGAAGAAGAAGAAGUUAGAGUUUCCAAUGCAGGAUCUGUUGGCCUUGAAUAUUUUCAAAAGACAUAGAGAUGCAAGGAUGUGUAAACAGAAGGUUUACCAUUGAAUUUGCCCUGUAUGGUUUUAGAUUGUUUUCCCUGACCCAAAUAAGGAAUUAAGGCAGUUUACUCCCUAUAUAUAAACAUUGAAAAACAUUGCAGGUCCAAAAAAAAAUGGGGGCCCCUGAUCUUGCCAAGGUCCUGCAUGGUCUGGAGGUCCCCCACCAUCUUUCCUGUUGCAUUGCC